GACGAACGCUGGCGGCGUGCUUAACACAUGCAAGUCGAACGAGAAAGCCCUUCGGGGUAAGUACAGUGGCGAACGGGUGAGUAACACGUGGGCAACCUGCCCCAGAGAGCGGGACAACCCGGGGAAACCCGGGCUAAUACCGCAUGAUGCGUCUCCACUUAAGUGGAGCCGCCAAAUGGUAGCUUCGGCCUCCGCUCUGGGAUGGGCCCGCGCCGGAUUAGCUAGUUGGUUGGGGUAAUGGCCCACCAAGGCGACGAUCCGUAGCUGGUCUGAGAGGACGAUCAGCCCCACUGGGACUGAGACACGGCCCAGACUCCUACGGGGGGCAGCAGUGGGGAAUCUUGCGCAAUGGGCGAAAGCCUGACGCAGCAACGCCGCGUGGGGGAAGAAGGCCUUCGGGUUGUAAACCUCUUUCAGUAGGGACGAAGCUUCCGGGGUUAAUAGCCUACGGGGUGACGGUACCUACAGAAGAAGCCCCGGCUAACUACGUGCCAGCCGCCGCCGUAA
RNAcentral lists this ribosomal RNA (507 nucleotides) under uncultured bacterium. Its description in RNAcentral is "partial 16S ribosomal RNA". It matches the Rfam family "Bacterial small subunit ribosomal RNA", at positions 28 to 523 of the family's 1533-position model. The record is from RNAcentral.